RNAcentral lists this ribosomal RNA (332 nucleotides) under uncultured bacterium. Its description in RNAcentral is "bacterial SSU rRNA". It matches the Rfam family "Bacterial small subunit ribosomal RNA", at positions 568 to 898 of the family's 1533-position model. The record is from RNAcentral.
CGUGUAGGCGGUUGGUCAAGUCGGGUGUGAAAGCCCGGGGCUCAGCCCCGGAAGUGCAUCCGAAACUAGCCAGCUAGAGCGCGAUAGAGGAGGGUGGAAUUCCUGGUGUAGCGGUGAAAUGCGUAGAUAUCAGGAGGAACACCGGCGGCGAAGGCGGCCCUCUGGAUCGUUGCUGACGCUGAGACGCGAAAGCGUGGGGAGCAAACAGGAUUAGAUACCCUGGUAGUCCACGCCUUAAACGAUGGGUACUAGGUGUUCGGGGUGUUGACCCCCUGAGUGCCGCAGUUAACGCAUUAAGUACCCCGCCUGGGGACUACGGCCGCAAGGUUAAA